Molecule: ribosomal RNA, 274 nt
Filed under: uncultured bacterium
Lineage: Bacteria
Description: partial 16S ribosomal RNA
Rfam family: Bacterial small subunit ribosomal RNA
Source: RNAcentral
AUACGAAGGGGGCUAGCGUUGUUCGAAAUCACUGGGCGUAAAGCGCACGUAGGUGGAUCAAUCAGUUGAGGGUGAAAUCCCGGGGCUCAACCUCGGAACUGCCUUCAAUACUGUUGGUCUUGAGUCCGAGAGAGGUGAGUGGAAUUCCUAGUGUAGAGGUGAAAUUCGUAGAUAUUAGGAAGAACACCAGUGGCGAAGGCGGCUCACUGGCUCGGUACUGACGCUGAGGUGCGAAAGCGUGGGUAGCAAACAGGAUUAGAAACCCUAGUAGUCC